Molecule: ribosomal RNA, 301 nt
Filed under: uncultured bacterium
Lineage: Bacteria
Description: partial 16S ribosomal RNA
Rfam family: Bacterial small subunit ribosomal RNA
Source: RNAcentral
CAGCCGCCACGGUAAUACGAAGGGUGCAAGCGUUACUCGGAAUUACUGGGCGUAAAGCGUGCGUAGGCGGCUAAUUGAGUCGGAUGUGAAAUCCCCGAGCUUAACUUGGGAAUUGCAUUCGAUACUGGUUAGCUAGAGUGUGGGAGAGGAUGGUAGAAUUCCAGGUGUAGCGGUGAAAUGCGUAGAGAUCUGGAGGAAUACCGAUGGCGAAGGCAGCCAUCUGGCCUAACACUGACGCUGAGGUACGAAAGCAUGGGGAGCAAACAGGAUUAGAUACCCCGGUAGUCCCUGUCUCUUAUAC